This is a non-coding RNA of Oryctolagus cuniculus (rabbit), 633 nucleotides long. NCBI's taxonomy places the organism in Eukaryota, Metazoa, Chordata, Mammalia, Lagomorpha, Leporidae. The record is from RefSeq and is a predicted model, not a curated record.
AAUACCAAGCCAUACCCCUCACUUCCCAUCACACAAAGGUCCUGUGCCUUGUCUUUGACAAAUGACCCUUAGGUCUCUACUGGCCUUACUGCUUCACAUCUCUACUCAGACUCCCACCCACUGAGCCACACCCUUGCAGAAGGAGCAUCCAUUCUAGGGUGACCCCUCCUCACCCUGAGUGUCCAGAUGGCCCUGAGGCACCCAGUGUGACUGCAGUCAGCCCAGAGGUCACCUUAGGCAGCCUGCCCUGGGCUGUCAGCUGUACCCCCCUUCCCCUGAGGCUCCCCUGCCUGUUAGAGCUUCCCCUGACCCUCCAUGUUCAGAAAGACCCGCCCCAAGCCUUUGACUUUCCAGCCUUCCCGGGAAGACACUCUGAAGUGAGGGCCGGGGGGUUGCUAUUACUCAGAUUUCUACACACCGGACUCCCCAAACUGGAGCGAUUCCAGCACCACCUGGGAGCUAUCAUGCGUCGCGUGCUCCCCUCCCUGGAGAAACACCUGGAGAAGGAGGGUGUGUGCCUUGAGGACUACACCGCCCACUGGUACAUCCAGUGCUUCCUGGAUGGGGUGCCGUUCCCCCUGGCACUUCGGAUGUUCGACAUUUACAUCCUUGAGGGCGCGCACGUACUCACGG